GACGGACCCCGCACAAGCGUGGAUCAUGUUGUUUAAUUCGAUGAUACGCGAAGAACCUUACCAGGUCUUGACAUCCCCCGCGAUGCUUUAGAGAUAAAGCGGAGGUAUUCGGGGAGACAGGUGGUGCAUGGUUGUCGUCAGCUCGUGUCGUGAGAUGUUGGUUAAGUCCCGCAACGAGCGCAACCCCUAUUGCUAGUUACCAUCAUUAAGUUGGGGACUCUAGCGAGACUGCCAGUGAUAAACUGGAGGAAGGUGGGGAUGACGUCAAAUCAUCAUGCCCCUUAUGACCUGGGCUACAAACGUGAUACAAUGGCUGGAACAAAGGGAUGCGAAGCAGUGAUGUGGAGCGAAACCCAUAAAAACAGUCUCAGUUCGGAUUGAAGUCUGCAACUCGACUUCAUGAAGUCGGAAUCGCUAGUAAUCGCGGAUCAGAACGCCGCGGUGAAUACGUUCUCGGGGUUU
This 462-nucleotide ribosomal RNA is filed under the name uncultured Acholeplasma sp. Its description in RNAcentral is "bacterial SSU rRNA". It matches the Rfam family "Bacterial small subunit ribosomal RNA", at positions 916 to 1381 of the family's 1533-position model. The record is from RNAcentral. Lineage: Bacteria; Bacillati; Mycoplasmatota; Mollicutes; Acholeplasmatales; Acholeplasmataceae.